This 230-nucleotide unclassified non-coding RNA is filed under the name Hevea brasiliensis (rubber tree). The record is from RNAcentral. Lineage: Eukaryota; Viridiplantae; Streptophyta; Magnoliopsida; Malpighiales; Euphorbiaceae.
GUAAGAAUGCUGACUCAUGAAAUUAGAAGUACACUCGACAGACAUACUAUAUUGAAAACCACCCUUGUUGAGUUGGGUAGGACCUUGGGUCUGGAGGAAUGUGCAUUGUGGAUGCCAUCUCGAUCUGAUAUGACUCUGCAACUUUCUCAUACCCUACAUUACCAAAUACAACUUGGAACUAGUGUGCCGAUAAACCUUCCUAUAGUCAAUGAAGUCUUCAACAGUGCUCG